This 172-nucleotide ribosomal RNA is filed under the name Trichoderma harzianum. RNAcentral's name for it is "5.8S ribosomal RNA". RNAcentral also lists the same sequence under 1 other name. The record is from RNAcentral. Lineage: Eukaryota; Fungi; Ascomycota; Sordariomycetes; Hypocreales; Hypocreaceae.
CAACCCUCGAACCCCUCCGGGGGGUCGGCGUUGGGGAUCGGCCCUCCCUUAGCGGGGGCCGUCUCCGAAAUACAGUGGCGGUCUCGCCGCAGCCUCUCCUGCGCAGUAGUUUGCACACUCGCAUCGGGAGCGCGGCGCGUCCACAGCCGUUAAACACCCAACUUCUGAAAUG